Long non-coding RNA from Parus major (Great Tit), 1406 nucleotides. RefSeq lists it as uncharacterized. The transcript has 2 exons. Lineage: Eukaryota; Metazoa; Chordata; Aves; Passeriformes; Paridae. The record is from RefSeq and is a predicted model, not a curated record.
CCUUUAAAUAUACAUCAUAGUCAAAUAAACAACAUCAUAUUCGAUCUGCAAAGUCUCUAUCAGUUCCUGCCCAGUCCUUAUCACCCAGCCUUACAUUUUGCUGAGAAAAUGUUCCCUGUUCAAUAACAAACCCAGAAGCAAGUGAGACUCACAUUUAGGAGUGAUGUGCUGAGAAAUGGACAUAGAGGAGGGGGGUCCCUUCUCCUGGAAGCUAAAUUGGAAAUUAAUUGAUUACAAGGGUAGAAGACACUCAGGACUCAAGCUCUCCACCCUGCCCGUAGGACAACAUGGCAAACAGGUCAAAGAAACUGCAAAGAUGCUGAAGACCAGCACAUUUUAAACAGUGUCUUCAACGCGUGAUUUUGGAGAAGAAAAGCACCCACAGCCAUCACCCAGGGACCAGCUGCCCAUCACCACAGCCCUGGCAAACCUCCACUUUGGAAGGAUAACGAGCAUUUUUGGCUGCAGCAGCAACGACGCCAUAAAACACCACGAACUGCUGUUUGCAGGCUUCUCCCAUCGCUGCUCGGAGCAUCUGUGGAAGGGAAAACUUCCCAGCGUAACAUCCACAACCUCUUAAGUAAAUAGUCUUUAAUGUUGCACUAAAGGGUUGUAGCCUUAAUAUGUAAAAUCUGUUUCGCUUUUUUAAUUCUUGGAUCGUGCUGUGGAAAGUGCUCCAGAAGUUGCCUGUUGGCUUUUUUCCCCCAGCCUUUGGUCUCGGAGGAGCCGUGGCCAGGAACGCCCUCCCGCAGCGCCGCCGCAAGCCCGGGCCAGCGGGAGCUGGUGGGAGAUGCCCUGAAGAUGGCAGCAGGGCCAUGGGCACCAGCCUGCGACAGCCGGCGGGUACCACAGCGCUCCGCUAAAUGCUGUUUGCAGCAAAUAUUUUUGCUUUCAAGAAGAAGGGAAAACGAAAAAAUAGAAAAGGAAAAAAAAAAAUAAAAAAUAAAAAGGGUGGGGAGCUGUUUUGUAACAAAUGCCAGAGCGCUCCCCGCAGCUGCAACUUUCUGCUGCAUCAGGAUGGAGCAAAUCACACCCGCUCGCUGCAAUCUGCCGGGAUGCUCAAAGGCUCAUCAGCCCCUCACAGCUGGGUCCUGCCCGCUGAGUGGCAGCUGAGCCUUUUCAACUAGGCAUGAAGGGUGGGAUGGGUUUCCCCGAUGGCUCUGGGUGCUGCCAGCUCCAGGCUGAGGGAGUUAUUUUAGGGUUUCUUCUUUCCCUUGUGCUUGCAGCCCUUGGAAUGUGGGCUCAUUGCUGGUCUGUGGCUGUUCCACUGAUGGCAUGAAGGCAAAUGUGAGAUGGAGCCAGUAGCUAUUUGGCUCCUGGUGGAGCAGUGUGUGUUCUGGUGUGUUGACUGAGUCUGCUGGGUGCUGUGGAAAUACGUAAAUAAAUGAAAAAGCAAUCUUUCCUCA